UAGGGAAUCUUCCACAAUGGACGCAAGUCUGAUGGAGCAACGCCGCGUGAGUGAAGAAGGUCUUCGGGAUCGUAAAACUCUGUUGUUAGAGAAGAACACGAGUGAGAGUAACUGUUCAUUCGAUGACGGUAUCUAACCAGCAAGUCACGGCUAACUACGUACCAG
RNAcentral lists this ribosomal RNA (165 nucleotides) under uncultured bacterium. RNAcentral describes it as "partial 16S rRNA". It matches the Rfam family "Bacterial small subunit ribosomal RNA", at positions 355 to 511 of the family's 1533-position model. The record is from RNAcentral.